Molecule: ribosomal RNA, 468 nt
Filed under: uncultured Methanomicrobiales archaeon
Lineage: Archaea; Methanobacteriati; Methanobacteriota; Methanomicrobia; Methanomicrobiales
Description: bacterial SSU rRNA
Rfam family: Archaeal small subunit ribosomal RNA
Source: RNAcentral
UUCCGGUUGAUCCUGCCAGACCUGACUGCUAUCGGAUUGGUACUAAGCCAUGCGAGUCGUUGUAGCAAUACAAGGCGGACGGCUCAGUAACACGUAGUCAAUCUACCUUAUGGACGGGGAUAACCUCGGGAAACUGAGAAUAAUACCCGAUAGAUCAUAAUUCCUGGAAUGGUUUAUGGUCCAAAUGAUUUAUCGCCAUAGGAUGGGACUGCGGCCUAUCAGCUUGUUGGUGAGGUAAUGGCCCACCAAGGCUAUAACAGGUACGGGCUCUGAGAGGAGAAGCCCGGAGAUGGGUACUGAGACACGGACCCAGGCCCUAUGGGGCGCAGCAGGCGAGAAACCUUAGCAAUGUGCGAAAGCACGACUAGGUUAAUCCGAGUGAUUUCUGCUGAAGAAAUCUAUUGUCAGUUCUAAAUCUACUGGUGAAUAAGGGGUGGGCAAGUCUGGUGUCAGCCGCCGCGGUAAUAC